CGGCGUGCCUAAUACAUGCAAGUCGAACGCAUUUGUGGUUGAAUGAUAUGAAGAACUUGUUCAGAUUUGAUUUUCAACAUUGCAAUGAGUGGCGAACGGGUGAGUAACACGUGGGAAACCUACCUCUUAGCAGGGGAUAACAUUGGAAACAAAUGCUAAUACCGUAUAAUAAUUAAAACCGCAUGGUUUUAGUUUAAAAGAUGGUCUUGCUAUCACUAAGAGAUGGUCCCGCGGUAUAUUAGUUAGUUGGUGAGGUAAUGGCUCACCAAGACAAUGAUACAUAGCCGAGUUGAGAGACUGACCGGCCACAAUGGGACUGAGACACGGCCCAUACUCCUACGGGAGGCAGCAGUAGGGAAUCUUCCACAAUGGACGAAAGUCUGAUGGAGCAACGCCGCGUGUGUGAUGAAGGGUUUCGGCUCGUAAAACACUGUUGUAAGAGAAGAAUGACAUUGAGAGUAACUGUUCAAUGUGUGACGGUAUCUUACCAGAAAGGAACGGCUAAAUACGUG
RNAcentral lists this ribosomal RNA (512 nucleotides) under uncultured bacterium. Its description in RNAcentral is "bacterial SSU rRNA". It matches the Rfam family "Bacterial small subunit ribosomal RNA", at positions 40 to 507 of the family's 1533-position model. The record is from RNAcentral.